UAGAAGCAGCCAUCAUUUAAAGAGUGCGUAAUAGCUCACUAGUCGAGUGACACUGCGCCGAAAAUGUACCGGGGCUAAACAUAUUACCGAAGCUGUGGAUUGUCCUUUGGACAAUGGUAGGAGAGCGUUCUAAGGGCGUUGAAGCAUGAUCGUAAGGACAUGUGGAGCGCUUAGAAGUGAGAAUGCCGGUGUGAGUAGCGAAAGACGGGUGAGAAUCCCGUCCACCGAUUGACUAAGGUUUCCAGAGGAAGGCUCGUCCGCUCUGGGUUAGUCGGGUCCUAAGCUGAGGCCGACAGGCGUAGGCGAUGGAUAACAGGUUGAUAUUCCUGUACCACCUAUAAUCGUUUUAAUCGAUGGGGGGACGCAGUAGGAUAGGCG
This 378-nucleotide ribosomal RNA is filed under the name Staphylococcus aureus. RNAcentral's name for it is "partial 23S ribosomal RNA". It matches the Rfam family "Bacterial large subunit ribosomal RNA", at positions 1107 to 1488 of the family's 2925-position model. The record is from RNAcentral. Lineage: Bacteria; Bacillati; Bacillota; Bacilli; Caryophanales; Staphylococcaceae.